UCCUCUGUAAGAUGGCUAGCCUCAGCAAUCCACUCAUCGGCCCUCUUCUUGGCCUCGACAGCUUUCGAGGCCAUCUCCUGUCGCCUAUCCUUCUCGAGGAUCAGUUCAGCUUCAGCUUUCUUUAAAGCUUCAGUAGAGGUCCCCACUCUCUUCUCCAUCUUGGCAGCUCAAGAUUCGACCUCCUGCAGCUCCUCCUUUUUGCGAGUA
This 207-nucleotide long non-coding RNA is filed under the name Elaeis guineensis (African oil palm). RNAcentral describes it as "long non-coding RNA (EGUI_LNC074357)". The record is from RNAcentral. Lineage: Eukaryota; Viridiplantae; Streptophyta; Magnoliopsida; Arecales; Arecaceae.